GAAUAUGACUGGGGAAACGAGAACUGCUAAUUACUCGUCACCAUGGUUCAAUUCCAUGGCAAAUUCG
This 67-nucleotide transfer RNA is filed under the name Espadarana prosoblepon (emerald glass frog). RNAcentral describes it as "tRNA-Ser". The record is from RNAcentral. Lineage: Eukaryota; Metazoa; Chordata; Amphibia; Anura; Centrolenidae.